AUUGAACGCUGGCGGAAUGCUUUACACAUGCAAGUCGAACGGUAGAGGGGGCAACCCCUCGAGAGUGGCGAACGGGUGAGUAAUAUAUCGGAACGUGCCCAGUCGUGGGGGAUAACGUAGCGAAAGUUACGCUAAUACCGCAUACGAUCUAAGGAUGAAAGCGGGGGAUCGCAAGACCUCGCGCGAUUGGAGCGGCCGAUAUCAGAUUAUGUAGUUGGUGGGGUAAAGGCUCACCAAGCCAACGAUCUGUAGCUGGUCUGAGAGGACGACCAGCCACACUGGAACGGAGGCACGGUCCAGACUACUACGGGAGGCAGCAGUGGGGAAUUUUGGACAAUGGACGCAAGUCUGAUCCAGCCAUUCCGCGUGCAGGAUGAAGGCCCUCGGGUUGUAAACUGCUUUUGUACGGAACGAAAAGGUCUCUCUUAAUACGGGGGGCUCAUGACGGUACCGUAAGAAUAAGCACCGGCUAACUACGUGCCAGCCGCCGCAGUAA
RNAcentral lists this ribosomal RNA (496 nucleotides) under uncultured bacterium. RNAcentral's name for it is "partial 16S ribosomal RNA". It matches the Rfam family "Bacterial small subunit ribosomal RNA", at positions 30 to 523 of the family's 1533-position model. The record is from RNAcentral.